This 465-nucleotide ribosomal RNA is filed under the name uncultured bacterium. Its description in RNAcentral is "bacterial SSU rRNA". It matches the Rfam family "Bacterial small subunit ribosomal RNA", at positions 28 to 507 of the family's 1533-position model. The record is from RNAcentral.
GACGAACGCUGGCGGCGUGCCUAACACAUGCAAGUCGAACGAAGAAUGUUUUUCGGAAUAUUCUUAGUGGCGGACGGGUGAGUAACGCGUGAACAAUCUGCCCCGUACAAAGGGAUAGCCUCGGGAAACCGGGAUUAAAACCAUAUAACACUUAACUGCCGCAUGGUAGUGAAGUCAAAUCGAUUAAGAGGUAUGGGAUGAGUUCGCGUCUGAUUAGCUAGUUGGUGAGGUAAGGGCUCACCAAGGCGACGAUACAGUAGCCGGCCUGAGAGGGUGAACGGCCACACUGGAACUGAGACACGGUCCAGACUCCUACGGGAGGCAGCAGUGGGGGAAUAUUGCACAAUGGAGGGAACUCUGAUGCAGCGACGCCGCGUGAGUGAAGAAGGUCUUCGGAUCGUAAAACUCUGUCCUUGGUGAAGAAAAGGACGGUAGCCAAGGAGGAAGCCCCGGGCUAACUACGUG